RNAcentral lists this ribosomal RNA (253 nucleotides) under uncultured bacterium. RNAcentral describes it as "partial 16S ribosomal RNA". It matches the Rfam family "Bacterial small subunit ribosomal RNA", at positions 524 to 776 of the family's 1533-position model. The record is from RNAcentral.
UACGUAGGGUGCGAGCGUUAAUCGGAAUUACUGGGCGUAAAGCGUGCGCAGGCGGUUUUGUAAGCCAGAUGUGAAAUCCCCGGGCUUAACCUGGGAAUGGCAUUUGGGACUGCAAGGCUGGAGUGUGGCAGAGGAGACUGGAAUUCCCGGUGUAGCAGUGAAAUGCGUAGAUAUCAGGAGGAACACCGGUGGCGAAGGCGGGUCUCUGGGCCGAUACUGACGCUGAGGAGCGAAAGCGUGGGGAGCGAACAGG